GAUGAACGCUAGCUACAGGCUUAACACAUGCAAGUCGAGGGGUAACGAGAGGGAAGCUUGCUUUCCUUGUCGACGACCGGCGCACGGGUGAGUAACGCGUAUCCAACCUGCCCCCAACUAGGGAAUAACCUUGCGAAAGUAAGACUAAUACCCUAUAAUUUCCUCAGAUGACAUCUGACGAGGAAUAAAGAUUUAUCGGUUGUGGAUGGGGAUGCGUCUGAUUAGCUUGUUGGCGGGGUAACGGCCCACCAAGGCAACGAUCAGUAGGGGUUCUGAGAGGAAGGUCCCCCACAUUGGAACUGAGACACGGUCCAAACUCCUACGGGAGGCAGCAGUGAGGAAUAUUGGUCAAUGGGCGGAAGCCCGAACCAGCCAAGUAGCGUGCAGGAUGACGGCCCUAUGGGUUGUAAACUGCUUUUAUACAGGAAUAAAGUUAGCCACGUGUGGUUAUUUGUAGGUACUGUAUGAAUAAGGACCGGCUAAUUCCGUGCCAGCCGCCGCAGUAA
This 506-nucleotide ribosomal RNA is filed under the name uncultured bacterium. RNAcentral describes it as "partial 16S ribosomal RNA". It matches the Rfam family "Bacterial small subunit ribosomal RNA", at positions 28 to 523 of the family's 1533-position model. The record is from RNAcentral.